This is a long non-coding RNA of Oryzias latipes (Japanese medaka), 3951 nucleotides long. RefSeq lists it as uncharacterized. Lineage: Eukaryota; Metazoa; Chordata; Actinopteri; Beloniformes; Adrianichthyidae. The record is from RefSeq and is a predicted model, not a curated record.
GCAGAAGCUCAGAGCAGGCCUUGAUGGAUGGAUCAAAGAGGCUAGUUCGGCGUUGGCUCGGCAAAUUAUAAAGGCAAGCAAGUGGGAUAGAACAGCCAAGUUUGGAGUCACUUCCUGUGUGGUGGUCGUGGCCAGGAUGGCUUUGUUGCUCCCUGGACUUAACUGGAGGCUCAUGGAGAGGCCCGUAACCAGCUGGACCCCCAGCUCUGUGAUGGUCACCUUGUCAUCCACUACAGUUAUAGCCUUCUCUGCCAAGAUUGAGUCUGACAGUGGAGAUAAAACCUGCAAGAUGUCAAAGAAAUCCAGGAAAAAAGGUGAAAAUAGGAAGUGAAUAAGAUUUUCCCUAAAAUGGGAUUGUUGAGCAGUAAUCUAUGACAUUGUGACGUGAACAAUAAAUCAAUAAUGAUUCUGCUGCACAAGCCGUUGGUGGGAGUUUUUUUAUUUUCUACUGGAAUAAUUUGGUUCGCAGGUUUUUCUCAUGAUAAAUCAGCAGCAAAGGUAAAGCAGUUAAAAAAACAAGGAGCACUUUCAGAUCAUUAGGACUGUUAUCCCAGACUGGGAUAACAGAAAGCUCAUCACUGGUCAACUUACUUGACUGACAACUGAUUCAUGUUAAGUGGAAGACAUUAAUAUCACCUCAUGAAGAAAGUGCCUAAAUUGCAGAUGAUUGCAGAAAAAGUCUUUCCAGGCAUUACAUAGAAAAAGAACCUGGCUCUGGGCUGUAUGCUAAAUAGGAAACCUAAGCCUACUUUUGGUUUAAUUUCUUUUUCCAGGCUCUAAAGACUAAGCAAACACUAAACUUGGCUGGCUUCUUGUAGGUAAAAAUCAAUUCUCUUUGGUUAACACUGGAAAUCCAUUGGAGAAUCACACUUUAACUAUUAAAGCAGAAGCCAAGAUCAUGAUAAGAAGAAGAAUGGUGUGUGAGCAAUGCAUCUUUCUCUACAUGUAUUCACUUAAAGCGUAAGGAUCCCAGUGUGACACAUGGCAUGGUUUGUGUCUCCUGUCAGAUCUUUGUGGUCAUGUUUUCUUCUGUUUGUUCUUGCUUUACAAAUGUGUGUGGAUAACGGUUUGUAGAAAUGAGCAUGUCUGCACAAGUCCAGAGUCCAAAUGUCAGGAAGCAGAUUCCACUCUUGCAGAUGUCGUUAGGAGAUUGAUAUUCAUCCAGUCAGCAUGAAAAACCUGACAAAUUGAAGGUCUGUGUGCCGAGAGGCUGACUCAUAGACUGUGACACAAGACGGAGUCUGCUUUAGACAAAAGAACUUACUCGUCAAAAAUAGCCAAGGCAGGAGCGGCUGUUAUUGUCCUUGAAAUAGACAAUGUCUUCAUGUUCUUUCAGCAUAUUAUUCUAAUGUGUUUUUUUUCUCCUGACAAUAAAAGUUUGAUGAAACCCUUUGGUUGUCUGAUAGAGUCCAAAUGGACAGAUGAUGUCCUUUGCUCACAGACUACAAAGCACGGAGUGAGAGAAGGAGAAUGACAAGCAGGACCUUCCCUGAAACAGCAACAAUGUUCAUUACAGAUAAGGCCUGAGGCUGGGGACAUCGCUUACAUAUGGAAUGUGCAAAAAGGCCUCCGAGCACCUGAAUCACAUCAACAGAAUGACGGAGGAGUGAAGCCAGACCUCGUCUGCAAAAAGGACAGAUUCCCAAAUAGUCACCUGGGGCUCGCUUCAAAGAGUUCUGAUGUUACAAUAUCCAACUUCACAGCAGAAAUGAAGAUCUUUAAAGAGAAAAGUUUUUAUUCAUCUCUACAAAACAUCUCUGCCGGCUCAUAGGUAUCAGUACUGAGCCCCUUCAAUCCGCCUGUAUAUCAACAUCAAUGCACAAGACGCAUCAGUCCUGUUUUCAGCAGAAUAUGUGAGCCAGGUAUUUUUUUUCUCAGCCCUCCACCAUAAUGCUCGACAGUUGGUAUGAGGUGUUUGCGCUCCUGUUCUAUUUUUGGAAUUUCCAAACAUUACUGCUGCACAUCAGCCUGUUUUUCAAGGUGACGUUGUGUCUUAACUUUUUUUUUCUCAUAUUGUCCAAAAGAUAUUGUUGCAAAAGUCCUGUCGCUUCUACCACCAUGGUCAUAGUUCCAUAUUUUUUGAGCAGACCUUCUGUUGGCGGCCCUUCUAAAACAGAUUUCUUCUCUUUGUAUUUUCAACAUUUAGCACAAAAACCAAGGUUUGCAUCGGAAUCUUACUGGAAUCUCACUGGAAUGUUGCCAGAACGUACUUAUUUUUCAUCUCGAAAUAAUGUCAUUUUUACUGCAGCAAUGUUUUGAAAUAGUCUGCUGACUAGGUUAGUGAGUGGCAGUAAUUGCUUCACUAAAAUCAGAUUAAGAAUAUGUGCUGGAUCAAUAAACCUUGGGUUUCAAAGGGCUUUCCCUUUUUAAACUUUGUAACAUUUUAAAACAGGUUACUGUAUUUAAGCAGACAAAAUAGUCAGAGAAAGUUCAGACAUCAAACUCAGUCAGACUCUAUUAACUUCAUUCUCAGUAAUUCCAGAACUUUUUUGCAACAUGCUGCACGAUUGCUAUGUUAGAAGCAUAUUCACAAUAUCUGAAACACUAAAUCUUGUAUGGAACACGUAAAAAAACCGACCAUCUGACAAAUGUUACUGUCACUAUGUUAACUCCCAACCUUGUUAGUAACACUUAAAAAAACGCAGUCCAACUCCGCUGCACUUUAGCCGUAUUAGCAUAUACAAAAUCACACCAAACCAUACAUUUUGACAAAGCGCAGUGUUCUUCUCAAAAUCGCUUUGACAUUUGUAAACACAACCAGAAUUGAUCCCUAUAUAAGGUUCCCUGGAUUAUAAAGCGCACUCUGCUGUUUUUUGAAAAAAAUGAAGGCUUACAGUGCAAAUAUACGGUAUCUUAAAUUUAAAUCCAAUCCAAGUUGUUUCUUUUGUUUCUUUUGAGUUAAACGUCUAUGUUCUCUCAUUCGAAACAACUGGUUAUUUAGGGGAAUGCUGUACUUUUUCAAAGUUUCUUUAGGAUGCACAUCACAAUGUUUUUUUUAUUUCUUAUUUCAGUUUUGUGUGAACUCUGUGUUCCCUCAAAGGGCAAUUUUCCAGAGCACUAAUUAAAACGAAACACUUUUCCAGACCUAUAAAACUUAACUUUGCUCCCUGGGUACAACUUGUGAAGAGGCAACAUGUCAAGUAAGCUUUGGUAACAAAUAAACAUGACCUUGUGCUGCAAUCAUUUAGGUUAUGAGGUUUAUUUACCCUGGGAGUUGAUGGAUUUUCAGACGGUAGGUUGAGGCCAGAAUCGAAUGAGACUGAUUGCAUUUAGCAGUUGCCUCGGUGCAGCCACAUGAGACCACAGGCUUCAGGCUGCCAAGAAAGCAGUGUAUGAGACCACAGGAUUGACAGUGACAAAGCUGAGACAAAGACAAGGACUGCCUUGCCACUGUAAAUCUCUGCUUUUAAUCCAAUGAACCUUGAUUGGUGCUCCAAACUUUUCUAUUUGGUGUUUCUGGCACAUCGUAGGGUUCUUGGUCAUUAGGCUCCGUUUAUGUGUGUUAAAAACUCCAGCAGCAAGUUUUGCUUUACUCUACUAUGCAAUGCAAACUUUACUUUAAUCUGAUAGAUACUUUGCCCAACUUUGCUUUUCCUACUGCCCUUGGUUUUCUAUUCACUUUUAAAAUUCUAACUAUAUUUGAUGUGUAUGUUCACUUAGACUGUCUUUCUUUGGUGUACAACCUCCUUAUUUACUUGAUAACUUUUAUUUGAAGUUAUCUUUAAAGUGUUUGAAACUGGAAAAAGGACAUUUUAACCUAGCUAAAGUUAAACAAUAAAUUAAAAUACAAAAAAUGUCAAACAAAUAUAUAUUUAAAUAUUAGACUCUAAUUGUAUGCACAACCAAUUAAUAAAAAGAAGGGUAAAUAAAUCAGCUGUCUUAGUUGAUUGAAGCAAAAUCAUUUUGAUGUACUUAAAAAGGAAAAUAAUGAAUAAAGGGAAACCAUCCAAA